This 244-nucleotide ribosomal RNA is filed under the name Hyloscirtus alytolylax. Its description in RNAcentral is "partial 12S ribosomal RNA". It matches the Rfam family "Bacterial small subunit ribosomal RNA", at positions 747 to 1079 of the family's 1533-position model. Lineage: Eukaryota; Metazoa; Chordata; Amphibia; Anura; Hylidae. The record is from RNAcentral.
GAAUUCACUACANUUAGGNCACNAANUNGGAUUAGAUACCCUACUAUGCCUAACCAUAAACCUUCAACCUACACUAACAUCGCCAGGUGACUACGAGCAAAGCUUAAAACCCAAAGGACUUGACGGUACCCCACAUCCCCCUAGAGGAGCCUGUCCUUUAAAUCGAUAGUCCCCGAUUGACCUCACCAUUUUUAGCCCUCAGUCUGUAUACCUCCGUCGUCAGCUUACCGCAUGAGCGACACAA